GAUGGACGCUGGCGGCGUGCCUAAUACAUGCAAGUCGAGCGAACAGAUGAGGAGCUUGCUCCUCUGACGUUAGCGGCGGACGGGUGAGUAACACGUGGAUAACCUACCUAUAAGACUGGGAUAACUUCGGGAAACCGGAGCUAAUACCGGAUAAUAUAUUGAACCGCAUGGUUCAAUAGUGAAAGACGGUUUUGCUGUCACUUAUAGAUGGAUCCGCGCCGCAUUAGCUAGUUGGUAAGGUAACGGCUUACCAAGGCAACGAUGCGUAGCCGACCUGAGAGGGUGAUCGGCCACACUGGAACUGAGACACGGUCCAGACUCCUACGGGAGGCAGCAAUAGGGAAUCUUCCGCAAUGGGCGAAAGCCUGACGGAGCAACGCCGCGUGAGUGAUGAAGGUCUUCGGAUCGUAAAACUCUGUUAUUAGGGAAGAACAAAUGUGUAAGUAACUAUGCACGUCUUGACGGUACCUAAUCAGAAAGCCACGGCUAACUACGUG
This 497-nucleotide ribosomal RNA is filed under the name uncultured bacterium. Its description in RNAcentral is "partial 16S ribosomal RNA". It matches the Rfam family "Bacterial small subunit ribosomal RNA", at positions 28 to 507 of the family's 1533-position model. The record is from RNAcentral.